This 560-nucleotide ribosomal RNA is filed under the name uncultured bacterium. Its description in RNAcentral is "partial 16S ribosomal RNA". It matches the Rfam family "Bacterial small subunit ribosomal RNA", at positions 355 to 907 of the family's 1533-position model. The record is from RNAcentral.
UGGGGAAUAUUGGACAAUGGGCGCAAGCCUGAUCCAGCAAUGCCGCGUGUGUGAAGAAGGCCUUCGGGUUGUAAAGCACUUUUAUCAGGAGCGAAACGCUGUCGGCUAAUACCCGGCGGAACUGACGGUACCUGAGGAAUAAGCACCGGCUAACUUCGUGCCAGCAGCCGCGGUAAUACGAAGGGUGCAAGCGUUAAUCGGAAUUACUGGGCGUAAAGCGUGCGUAGGCGGUUUCUUAGUCUGCUGUGAAAUCCCCGGGCUCAACCUGGGAAUGGCAGUGGAUACUGGGAGGCUAGANUGUGUCAGAGGGUGGUGGAAUUCCCGGUGUAGCGGUGAAAUGCGUAGAGAUCGGGAGGAACAUCAGUGGCGAAGGCGGCCACCUGGGACAACACUGACGCUGAGGCACGAAAGCGUGGGGAGCAAACAGGAUUAGGAUACCCUGGUAGUCCACGCCCUAAACGAUGCGAACUGGAUGUUGGUCUCAACUCGGAGAUCAGUGUCGAAGCUAACGCGUAAGUUCGCCGCCUGGGGAGUACGGUCGCAAGACUGAAACUUAAAGG